RNAcentral lists this unclassified non-coding RNA (240 nucleotides) under soil metagenome. Its description in RNAcentral is "partial contains 5.8S ribosomal RNA, internal transcribed spacer 2, and large subunit ribosomal RNA". The record is from RNAcentral.
AACCUUAUGGACCUGCGGGCGUAUACCUGCGGAGGGAUCAUUAUAGAGUUUUCUAAACUCCCAAACCCAUGUGAACUUACCAUUGUUGCCUCGGCAGAACCUACCCGGUACCUACCCUGGAACGAGCUACCCUGUAGCUACCCAGGAACGGGCUACCCUGUAACGUCCUGCCGGUGGACUUCUAAACUCUUGUUAUUUAUAGUAAUCUGAGCGUCUUAUUUUAAUAAGUCAAAACUUUUA